UCGGCUUUGCUUAGGGUUGUAGAAAAUGAAAAGAAUCAAGUUGUAAUAAUCAUGUUAAAUCGGAUUGUAUUUGGAAGUUGAAUGUAAUAAGUAUUUGGGAUGUAAAAUGUAUGAAUGUGAAUGCUUGUAAUAACAAGUAGAUUAUGUUUUUGAUACUUCCUUAUGCAAUCUUUGAUUGAAAUGUGUUCCUGGUUGGAACUUUGUACAUUGUAUUGAUUGCGACGCCUUGAAUGUACAGGGGAGACUCUGUCCGCGGUACAGGGGAAACCCUGUCCGUUCGGCG
This 283-nucleotide long non-coding RNA is filed under the name Ananas comosus (pineapple). RNAcentral's name for it is "long non-coding RNA (ACOM_LNC023093)". The record is from RNAcentral. Lineage: Eukaryota; Viridiplantae; Streptophyta; Magnoliopsida; Poales; Bromeliaceae.